This 393-nucleotide ribosomal RNA is filed under the name uncultured bacterium. RNAcentral describes it as "partial 16S ribosomal RNA". It matches the Rfam family "Bacterial small subunit ribosomal RNA", at positions 523 to 918 of the family's 1533-position model. The record is from RNAcentral.
AUACGGAGGAUGCGAGCGUUAUCCGGAUUUAUUGGGUUUAAAGGGAGCGUAGGUGGGAUAUUAAGUCAGCUGUGAAAGUUUGGGGCUCAACCUUAAAAUUGCAGUUGAUACUGGUUUCCUUGAGUACGGUACAGGUGGGCGGAAUUCGUGGUGUAGCGGUGAAAUGCUUAGAUAUCACGAAGAACUCCGAUCGCGAAGGCAGCUCACCGGGCCGGAACUGACACUGAUGCUCGAAAGUGCGGGUAUCAAACAGGAUUAGAUACCCUGGUAGUCCGCACAGUAAACGAUGAAUACUCGCUGUUUGCGAUACACGGUAAGCGGCCAAGCGAAAGCGUUAAGUAUUCCACCUGGGGAGUGCGCCGGCAACGGUGAAACUCAAAUGAAUUGACGGGG